Molecule: long non-coding RNA, 767 nt
Organism: Salvia hispanica
Lineage: Eukaryota; Viridiplantae; Streptophyta; Magnoliopsida; Lamiales; Lamiaceae
Source: RefSeq, a predicted model, not a curated record
UAUUUCUCCCCUUCUCCAACAUCCCACUCUCUCUCCAAUCUCUGCCGGCGAUUUUGGCGUCGCCGGCGAGCGACGCCGGCCGCCGGUCACGUCUCCCCUCUCCCCUCUUUCUCUAUCUCGGCCUCUCUCUCUCUCUCUGCCGCCUCUCUCUCUCUCGGCCUCUCUCUCUCGGCCGCCUCUCUCUCUGCCGCGAACCGCCACCUCCGCCGUCGCCGCCGGGCCGCUGCUGCCGUCACUGGUGGGCUGCUGCCGCCGUCGCCGCCGGGUACACGGCGGUCUCCUCGCCGUCGACCGAGAGAGAUUCGGAUAGAUCGUGAAAAUGGGGUCGAAAGAGAUUAAUUUCGUUGUGAAAAGUCGGACAACCGCCGGAAUGUUGCCGGACUGCCGCCGGACUACCGCCGCCGCCGAUCUGCCGCCGCUGCCGGUGGGCCACUGCCGGGCAGUCUCUCCGAGGACCGGCAGCUUCUUCACUCACGAGGUAUCGGGGUUCAAGACGUGGCUAUUGCGCAAGAUCCGGAGGGCAUGGAGAGUAUUUUAUUUUAUUUUUAUUUUUAUUUAUUAUUAUUAUUUUUUUUAAUAUUUACUUAAACGUUGAACUCAUGUACGGACUUUUAUUUGAAACUCGGUCUUCACAAACGGACUUUUAUUAGAGCAAACAUCUAUAAUGACUAUUACUAUUUUUGUUCACUACUCAAAAUAUACUUCACAACGAUUAAUCAUAACAAGAAGUAAUAAUAAGAAAAUUUCGACGCGAAACUUAUAUAUAU